Molecule: long non-coding RNA, 331 nt
Filed under: Medicago truncatula (barrel medic)
Lineage: Eukaryota; Viridiplantae; Streptophyta; Magnoliopsida; Fabales; Fabaceae
Description: lncRNA gene48991
Source: RNAcentral
AUGGCACGGACAUUUAUAUUGGCCUGUUUAAUAACAAGUUUGACGAUAAACAAGUUAAAAGCAAUAACAAAAUAUGCAAAAAGAUUCUAACCAAAACAAUACCAGGCCAUUCUUAUAAGAUGAGCAUAAUUUUCUAACCUUAGCCAAUGCGUUGAAAAGGGUGGCACUAACUCCAGGAGUGCUUGCCAUUUUCUGGCCAACAGCAGCCAAAAUGCUACAAUUUGGGAUAACAGCAACCUGAGAGAAAGACGCCCAUUAUCCAAAGCUUGACGAAACCUUGAUUGCAAUGCCUCAGCUACAGCUUUUACUUCCUUCUCGGGCACAGCAAAGC